UAUCACUAAGGAAUGUUUUUCUCGCCAUAUUUUUCCGGCGAGAGACGGAAAGGAUUCGAACCCGCCAACACAGGCAGGUUUAGAUUGAUAACAAUUAAAGGACAAG
This is a non-coding RNA of Vibrio anguillarum 775, 106 nucleotides long. NCBI's taxonomy places the organism in Bacteria, Pseudomonadati, Pseudomonadota, Gammaproteobacteria, Vibrionales, Vibrionaceae. The record is from Rfam.